Molecule: ribosomal RNA, 252 nt
Filed under: uncultured Lactobacillus sp.
Lineage: Bacteria; Bacillati; Bacillota; Bacilli; Lactobacillales; Lactobacillaceae
Description: partial 16S ribosomal RNA
Rfam family: Bacterial small subunit ribosomal RNA
Source: RNAcentral
AGCGGCGGACGGGUGAGUAACACGUGGGCAACCUGCCCUGGAGCGGGGGAUAACAUCUGGAAACAGGUGCUAAUACCGCAUAACAACGAAAACCACAUGGUUUUCGUUUCAAAGAUGGUUUCGGCUAUCACUUCAGGAUGGGCCCGCGGUGCAUUAGCUAGUUGGUAAGGUAACGGCUUACCAAGGCAAUGAUGCAUAGCCGAGUUGAGAGACUGAUCGGCCACAAUGGAACUGAGACACGGUCCAUACUCC